CGAUAAAAAGAAAAAAAAAAUCGGCUUGAUAAGAAGGAAAAUGUCUAAAGCAUUUUUUUUUUUAGUUUGAAUCACAAGGUAGUCUUGAGUGAGCCCAAACUGUGGGAGAUACCUUUAAAUCCGUACCACAACUCAGACUAAUUCUCGUUCGCACCGGGUCGGCUCGUAAGAGGUAAAGUAUUGGCCAAAGUAGUGACUCCAAACGAGAGUAGAGCUUGAACUCCUGACCUCUCUUAAAGAGUGAGAAUACCGAACUACUCAUACCAACUAACUUUAAUGUAUCGAAAGCACUUUAAAUCUGCUUUAUCUCAUUACAAGCCCAAAAAUAAUUUAUUAUAUGCCCGGAAUACCCAUAGCUUAAGCUAUGAUUAAAAAGUAUCCUGCACGUGCUGCGUAACCACCUACAUCACUUAACCAUCUUCAAAGAUUUUUCCAAAUGAAUUAAUGAGUGUCUACGAAAAUUUGACCGAGUCAACCAAUACUUCAUUAUUUUUAGUGGUCAUGAUUAAUGUUGGCAUUGUUUUUUCUUUCUGUAACGUGGGCUCUGCCAAUUCUAGAAGAUGGUCCCAUAACCCAGCUGAUAGGACCCACAUUAAUGAAUAAUGAUGAUUCCUGGGUGGUUCAAAAUAUGGCAAAGGCCGCAUUGCUCUGCCUUCAAAAUGAUGAUUCUGGGUAGGAUGGGCAAAUCGGAUUUCGGUUUGGAUUAUUUGGGUUUCAAUUCGUUCGGGUUGGAGAAUUGAACUUAAUCGGGUUGAAAACGCCAAUCCGAAUCAAACCGAAGCGAAUUUAAUUCGGUUCGGUUCGAUUUGGGUUGGCAAUUCGGAUCGGAUUGAGUUGAUAAUUCGGGUUAAAAUUUUAGUUCGGGUUAAUUCGGGUUAGUUUAGGUUAGAAUAAUUCGGAUUAGUUCGGAUUAGAAUGAGUUUGGAACAAUUUAAAUGAUUUUAAAUUCGGGUUGUUUCGUAGCUAAGAAAGCAGUGAGAAAUUUGAAGGAAAAUAAGAACUGGAUCUGAGAAUUCUCUAGAACAUCAUUUUAUUCAUCAACAACCAAAUGAUAUGUACAAGAGGUUCCUUUAUAUACAAAGCUUAAGCUCAGAUCAAUUGUUGUAACCAACUAUAGCUAAUUAACUACUAAUUUAACUACUAAUCACAAUAGCUUAUAACAAUCAAUUAAUUAAAAAUAUACAAUUUAAUUAAUAGCAACAGGCUGUUAAAAAAUUAAAAUUCGAUUCGGCUUGUUGCCAUCAGCUGCGAGCAAGUCAGCAAGUUACAGGCUUAUAGUGCCGGCAAGGCAAGACAAACCUUGAUCUCGGAGGUCGGAGCAGCUACAGCGUCGGCAGAUCGAGACUAUACUGGGCUAAGUGGGACGCGAGUGGGCUGUGGUGAAGCGCAGUUGCAAGCGAGGCGUGCUGGCUGACGGCGAGUGGGCUGCGGUGAACGCCUGGUGUCUGUUGGAGCUGGACGGGGCUACUGGCUGCUGCUGUCGUCGUGGGCCACGAAACUCAGAAAGUGAGAACUGAGAAGAGGGAGCAAGGAGNN
Molecule: long non-coding RNA, 1536 nt
Filed under: Citrus x clementina
Lineage: Eukaryota; Viridiplantae; Streptophyta; Magnoliopsida; Sapindales; Rutaceae
Description: Citrus clementina (C. clementina) long non-coding RNA (CCLE_LNC002455)
Source: RNAcentral